UACGUAGGGGGCAAGCGUUGUCCGGAAUUAUUGGGCGUAAAGAGCGCGUAGGCGGUCCGAUAAGUCGGCUGUGAAAGUCAGGGGCUCAACCCGUGGAAGCCGGCCGAUACUGUCGGACUAGAGUCCGGAAGAGGCAAGUGGAAUUCCCGGUGUAGCGGUGAAAUGCGCAGAUAUCGGGAGGAACACCAAUGGCGAAGGCAGCUUGCUGGGACGGUACUGACGCUCAUGCACGAAAGCGUGGGGAGCAAACAGG
This 253-nucleotide ribosomal RNA is filed under the name uncultured bacterium. RNAcentral's name for it is "partial 16S ribosomal RNA". It matches the Rfam family "Bacterial small subunit ribosomal RNA", at positions 524 to 776 of the family's 1533-position model. The record is from RNAcentral.